UACGAGUGGUGCAAGCGUUGCUCGGAAUCACUGGGCAUAAAGGGUGUGUAGGCGGCUAAGCAAGUCGGUUGUGAAAUCCCCCGGCUCAACCGGGGAACUGCGGCCGAUACUGCUUGGCUUGAGGACGGGAGGGGAGAGCGGAAUUCCAGGUGUAGCGGUGAAAUGCGUAGAUAUCUGGGAGAAGGCCGGUGGCGAAGGCGGCUCUCUGGUCCGUUUCUGACGCUGAGGCACGAAAGCGUGGGGAG
RNAcentral lists this ribosomal RNA (245 nucleotides) under uncultured bacterium. RNAcentral's name for it is "partial 16S ribosomal RNA". It matches the Rfam family "Bacterial small subunit ribosomal RNA", at positions 524 to 768 of the family's 1533-position model. The record is from RNAcentral.